AUUUGACAGUCGAUUUGCUGACAGGGGAGGAAUUUGCAUCCUGGAUUAAAAAAAAAAAAAAAAAAAGGCCGAGAGGAGCUUGGGAACGGUUGCUAGGGGUGGGUAAUGGGUGAAAAAAGGGGGGCGCCGGGGAGCGGAUAAGGAGGGUUAAGGGAGGGGGCGAGGGUGGGGAGCAAUGCAAAAGGUAAGGCCAGGUUACCGCGGCUCGGCCCCGAGUGGGCUGCGGCCGGGGGAGGGGCGAGAGAUACAUAUGUAUUUCUGUCUCCCUAGCACACCCCCUUCCCUCUAAGCGAUGGCUGAGAGGCGGUGCAUGCAGAUGGGGACUCUGCUCGCCCCUCAUCUCACCCCCCAGGCGAAGACUGGUCUUCUUGUCGGAUUGCCUAUGCACUUGUUGCAGAAACAGCCAAGGCCCUGGCUCUGGAGGAUGCUGAAAGAGGAAGACACAGAAGCAGGACGACCCUGAGAGAUUAAGCCUCUUAAUCGUGAAACAGAACCAGGCCUCCUCUCCCCACCUGCCCAGCAGCAUGAGAGCAGCAUGACUGGCCGGCCGCAGGAGAAGCCCCCAGAGCCAGGCCCCCAUCUCAACCAGCUGCUGCAGAAGUCAAGGUAAGCUCGUUCCCCUUCUCCUGGAAGGUGUGGGCAUUUUUCACUUGAACUAAUUUGCUAUGAUUUUAUAAUCAUUUGCCAUGUACUGGAAAAAGAGUGUUUACUGGGAUACGGGUAGACUGAAAAGGUGCAUGUCAGUCUAAUGGGGCAAAAUGUCUUUGUUUCGGUUAAUGGAGAAGCCAGUGAUGAAGCAGAAAGGACAGGGGAUUGAGUUUCUGGG
This 826-nucleotide long non-coding RNA is filed under the name Bos mutus (wild yak). RNAcentral's name for it is "lncRNA (ENSBMUG00000013610.1)". Lineage: Eukaryota; Metazoa; Chordata; Mammalia; Artiodactyla; Bovidae. The record is from RNAcentral.